This 301-nucleotide ribosomal RNA is filed under the name uncultured bacterium. RNAcentral describes it as "partial 16S ribosomal RNA". It matches the Rfam family "Bacterial small subunit ribosomal RNA", at positions 509 to 807 of the family's 1533-position model. The record is from RNAcentral.
CAGCCGCCACGGGAAUACGUAGGUGGCAAGCGUUGCCCGGAAUUAUUGGGCGUAGAGGGCUCGCAGGCGGUUUCUUAAGUCUGAUGUGAAAGCCCCCGGCUCAACCGGGGAGGGUCAUUGGAAGCUGGGAAACUUGAGUGCAGAAGAGGAGAGUGGAAUUCCACGUGUAGCGGUGAAAUGCGUAGAGAUGUGGAGGAACACCAGUGGCGAAGGCGACUCUCUGGUCUGUAACUGACGCUGAGGAGCGAAAGCGUGGGGAGCGAACAGGAUUAGAUACCCGUGUAGUCCCUGUCUCUUAUAC